UACGGAGGGUGCAAGCGUUAUCCGGAUUCACUGGGUUUAAAGGGUGCGUAGGCGGGUAAGUAAGUCCGUGGUGAAAUCUCUGAGCUUAACUCAGAAACUGCCGUGGAUACUAUUUGCCUUGAAUAUUGUGGAGGUGAGCGGAAUAUGUCAUGUAGCGGUGAAAUGCUUAGAUAUGACAUAGAACACCAAUUGCGAAGGCAGCUCACUACACAAUCAUUGACUCUGAGGCACGAAAGCGUGGGGAUCAAACAGG
This 253-nucleotide ribosomal RNA is filed under the name uncultured bacterium. RNAcentral's name for it is "partial 16S ribosomal RNA". It matches the Rfam family "Bacterial small subunit ribosomal RNA", at positions 524 to 776 of the family's 1533-position model. The record is from RNAcentral.